RNAcentral lists this ribosomal RNA (254 nucleotides) under uncultured bacterium. Its description in RNAcentral is "partial 16S ribosomal RNA". It matches the Rfam family "Bacterial small subunit ribosomal RNA", at positions 524 to 776 of the family's 1533-position model. The record is from RNAcentral.
UACGUAGGGUGCAAGCGUUUAAUCGGAAUUACUGGGCGUAAAGCGUGCGCAGGCGGUUCGUUGUGUCGGCGGUGAAAGCCCCGGGCUUAACCUGGGAAUGGCCGUUGAAACUGGCGAACUGGAGUGUGGCAGAGGGGGUGGAAUUCCGCGUGUAGCAGUGAAAUGCGUAGAGAUGCGGAGGAACACCGAUGGCGAAGGCAGCCCCCUGGGCUAACACUGACGCCUCAGGCACGAAAGCGUGGGGAGCAAACAGG